CGAGAGGAGGCGGGCCGGUGACAAAGGUUGAAUGGAACUUGUGCAGCUGUUUUUUACCCUUGCAGUCUGCUGUGUGCCCGUGCUGCGGGUUGAGCGGUGCCGUUGUGCGGGGCGGACGUUCGGAGUCUGUUCUUUGCCCAGGCAAGUUGGCAAAUUUCGGGCCUUAAAGACAUAGGGAGCUGUGACACCGAUGAUACACCUGAACUUCCUUUUCUGUUUCCAAAGGUGUGUAAGACAUGUCGCUUUUGGUCUUUUAUUAGAG
Molecule: long non-coding RNA, 262 nt
Organism: Gallus gallus (chicken)
Lineage: Eukaryota; Metazoa; Chordata; Aves; Galliformes; Phasianidae
Source: Ensembl